GAUGAACGCUGGCGGCGUGCUUAACACAUGCAAGUCGAACGGGGGUCAUCAGGCGGAAGUCUUCGGACGGAAGCUUUUUGACCCGAGUGGCGGACGGGUGAGUAACACGUGAGUAACCUGCCUUAUGCUGGGGAAUAACUGUGGGAAACCAUGGCUAAUACCGCAUGUUGUGUCUACAAGGCAUCUUGUGGGUAUGAAAGGAGCAAUCCGGCAGAAGAUGGGCUCGCGUCCGAUUAGGUAGUUGGUGGGGUAAAGGCCUACCAAGCCUGCGAUCGGUAGCCGGACUGAGAGGUCGAACGGCCACAUUGGGACUGAGACACGGCCCAGACUCCUACGGGAGGCAGCAGUGGGGAAUUUUGGGCAAUGGGGGCAACCCUGACCCAGCGACGCCGCGUGAAGGACGAAGGCCUUCGGGUUGUAAACUUCUUUGGGGAGGGACGAAGAUGACGGUACCUCCAGAACAAGCCACGGCUAACUACGUG
RNAcentral lists this ribosomal RNA (482 nucleotides) under uncultured Clostridium sp. RNAcentral describes it as "bacterial SSU rRNA". It matches the Rfam family "Bacterial small subunit ribosomal RNA", at positions 28 to 507 of the family's 1533-position model. The record is from RNAcentral. Lineage: Bacteria; Bacillati; Bacillota; Clostridia; Eubacteriales; Clostridiaceae.